GCAGAGGUGGACCGUGUUGGGGUCUGAGGUUUUACCUCUGAAAGCUACCUGCAAAAAGGGACUACCUAGAAAAGUAUCACCCUGGAAUUUUAGCAUAACCUUUUCAAAACCAACUACUAACCACCAAGCACUGUUUUAUGAAAUUUGCAGGCAUCAUGUGUCAUUCUCACAGCUGUUAGGACUUCAAUGAUGUUAUCUCCGAGAAUGACUGAAAUUUUAAAGAGAUCGGUAGUUCUAUUAUGGGGAGGACAUGUGGGUUUUCUUCUGCUUCCUAAAGAGACAAAGCCCUAGCAACUGAUCAACUGGAGUGGACAGUUCUCUUGUCCCAGGGGAAUCUGGUGCCUGAGAGCUGUCAUUUGAGGAUUCCAGGAGAGUUCUUGUGGAUUUCAAGUGAACUUUCUGAACCUAAAAAUUUGGGAAAUGUAGACUUCCCCAAGAGAAUAUGACUUAAGGAGCAGGAAUG
This 463-nucleotide long non-coding RNA is filed under the name Homo sapiens (human). RNAcentral describes it as "HSALNT0132850". Lineage: Eukaryota; Metazoa; Chordata; Mammalia; Primates; Hominidae. The record is from RNAcentral.